This 477-nucleotide ribosomal RNA is filed under the name uncultured bacterium. RNAcentral describes it as "partial 16S ribosomal RNA". It matches the Rfam family "Bacterial small subunit ribosomal RNA", at positions 30 to 507 of the family's 1533-position model. The record is from RNAcentral.
AUUGAACGCUGGCGGCAUGCCUUACACAUGCAAGUCGAACGGUAACAGGUUAAGCUGACGAGUGGCGAACGGGUGAGUAAUGUAUCGGAACGUGCCCAGUCGUGGGGGAUAACUGCUCGAAAGAGCAGCUAAUACCGCAUACGACCUGAGGGUGAAAGCGGGGGAUCGCAAGACCUCGCGCGAUUGGAGCGGCCGAUAUCAGAUUAGGUAGUUGUUGAGGUAAAGGCUCACCAAGCCGACGAUCUGUAGCUGGUCUGAGAGGACGACCAGCCACACUGGGACUGAGACACGGCCCAGACUCCUACGGGAGGCAGCAGUGGGGAAUUUUGGACAAUGGGCGCAAGCCUGAUCCAGCCAUGCCGCGUGCGGGAAGAAGGCCUUCGGGUUGUAAACCGCUUUUGUCAGGGAAGAAAAGGUUCUGGCUAAUACCUGGGACUCAUGACGGUACCUGAAGAAUAAGCACCGGCUAACUACGUG